GGCACUCAUUAGCAAAUAGAAGAAAGGUCUUCUUCUAAAUAAUAAGUUAUAAGGCCAGAAGAAAUGAAGUAGGGAGGAUGUCUGGUUCAAAGAAUAACGAAUGAGAUAAGAGGAAGUUUCUAAAAGGAAGGCCUCCGCCUGAGAGGAAGAACUGCAGAUGGUUUUAAAUAAAACAAAGAGAAUCUGUGUUAAAUCAGCCAUCAUAGCCCUUCCCAACACACACACUAGUGUUAAAUCCUAUGUGAACCCGGGUGCAAUGGAAAAACUGUUGGCAGUAAGAAGGAGGGGAAAAAAGGCCUUGGGAAGAAAUGAGGUUUUAAAUCGUCUGGAUUAGGACUGGAAAUAAGGGUGAACUAUCUCAAGUUGUUUUUUAGCUAAAGUCAGUAAUUGGCAAUGACAUUACUUGUUUAUUAAAGGGUAUAAAAAAGAAACUCUUAAAGGGUUCAUUGCUAAUACCUUCUUGAUCACACCGGACCUGACCAAUAUGGGUCUAAGCACUCCUGGGUUUAGCCUGUUGUGAAAUAUUUUCUAUUUGAGCAUCUGUUGUUUCAUGCAAAGACAAUGCUACAUUUGCUCACAAGAAUGAAACCACAAUCGUUUCAGGGCAUUCCAUUAGUCUGUUUAUGAUUGGUAUAUUACUCAGACACCAAGACAAUAGGCACGCUAUAAGAAGAUAGAACUGAGUGCUUCUGGUGCUUUUGUACCUAAUGGUUUGAUUUUUUUUUUGUAAGAAACCAGGGCAAUGUUACAUGAAGACACCACAGAUCUUCCAUGGGAAUUAAACCCACAGAUCUUCAGCUCUGAAAGGCAUGCACCAGCCCGAAUAGAAACCAUUGUUGCAUUUCCAAAGCACAGUACAGGUAUUUAAAUAUAGGGGACUUUCGUUUAAUAAGGUACUUUGUUACAAAAUUUGUAUUGGCGAAAAUAAUUAUUUUAAUUUGGAUUCAAUCUGAGGAAAGGUUCUCUUUCAUGUGCUUUCUCUGCACCACAUUCUCCUGUGUGUUUCCCAUGCUGCUAAAAUGUAAUGCCAGGGGUCUAUGGAAAUUUCUCUAAGACAAAUGUAUAUAUGACUUGUGACUGGAAUAAGAAAUGAGCCUGGAUGAUGCCGAGAAUGUUAAAAUCCUGUACCAAUAUCUACAAGCUGGUGACGAAUAAUAAAUCAGAUGUUUUCAUUGUCAGUUUAACAAGUUAAGUAAAAUGAGCCCAUAGCAUGCAAUUGUCAAUGUUCUUGAUAAAAUAGCCUAGCCAACAGAGCCCCAUUUUCCAGAAGGGGUUUUAUUAUCUCUUUAAAUGGCUUUGUAUAUUACAUUAAGGUCCAGGCUGUUCCUGGCCCUUGCACAGAGUGAGAGGGCAAAGGAGCCUUCCCCACAUUGCAUACCCAGAUACAGCCCCAGCCUCAGCACUUAGAGGCGUAUUUAUUGCCUUCUCCAUCUGUCCAUAUCACUAUAAGGAGUCGUCUCCCCAAACCACUGACCUGCUGCUUUCACACUUUCCCUGAGCAUCAUGGGGCACCCUGAGGAACAGUCUCUCCUUGUACAUGCUGAGAGGCCUGUGUCCAGUAGCAAUCUGUCCCCAGUUCGCACGCCUGAGCUCCUGGUGAUCAUACCAUCCUAGGUCCAUGAUGAAUUUCACUUAUCCUUCUCUACUUAAGGUAUCUCCAUUUUACUGGGAAUGACUAUAAGCCAGCUUCUUUUCAUGCAGGAACUCUUACAGAUUUUGGGUUACCUUCCUGAUGCCACUGUUGGAUCCUGAUCAGAGGCAAAUGGAGAUCUGUAAUUUCUCUUUGGGGGGUGGGGGGUGUGUGUGCAUGUUCAAGUCUGAAGUCCCUUAUGAUUUUCCCCAGUGGUCUGUCUUGGACACCACUGCAGGCAACAAAGAGUAGGUAGAAACAAUUCUCUUAAUUGAACAGCAGCAACUUGAAACCUUAGGUUUUUGAGCCUGUAGCAGCAGCAGAGAGCUGAGCUAGAGCAGAGGUGGGCAAACCACAGCCCAUGGGCCACAUCUGGCCUGCGGAACCCUCCUGCUUGGACCCUGAGCUCCUGGCUCGG
This is a long non-coding RNA of Dermochelys coriacea (leatherback sea turtle), 2048 nucleotides long. RefSeq lists it as uncharacterized. The transcript is spliced from 3 exons. Lineage: Eukaryota; Metazoa; Chordata; Testudines; Dermochelyidae. The record is from RefSeq and is a predicted model, not a curated record.